GUGCUCUCUUGGGCAGCACUUAUACUAAAAUUGGAAUGAUACAGAGAAGAUUAGCAUGGCCUCUGUGCAAGGGUGACAUGCAAAUUCAUAAAACCCCUGCUUGUGUUA
This is a small nuclear RNA of Panthera pardus (leopard), 108 nucleotides long. The record is from Ensembl. NCBI's taxonomy places the organism in Eukaryota, Metazoa, Chordata, Mammalia, Carnivora, Felidae.